RNAcentral lists this ribosomal RNA (370 nucleotides) under Quercus trojana. The record is from RNAcentral. Lineage: Eukaryota; Viridiplantae; Streptophyta; Magnoliopsida; Fagales; Fagaceae.
CUCCUGUGAAGUCCUUGUGUUGGACCCCUUUCUUUUUCUUCACAUUUUUUUCGUUGGGGUUAUCGUUUACAGCGGUCCGGCACGUUUACUUUGUAUGCAUCCCUUUAAUUUUCCUCGGAUUUUAUUUCAUUGGGCUUAUCGUUUAUGUUGGUCCAGCACGCUCACUUUGUAGGCUUAACUGCCCCAGCCAAAAAUACAAGCCGCUGAUCUCGUUUUGGGUGCUAAAGCUUCGAGGCAACCUCGAAAUCCGCAGAAGCCCCUCGGGUUGCAUGUCUCCGGUGUUAAAGUGCAUUGUUGCAUUCGAAUCUUUUAUAAGAAUUUAAUUCGCUUAUGCUGAUGGGUACGAUCUAACCAAUACUAAUGCACCGAA